AUGCCAGAAUCUCAGUUCCCAGAAUCGCUGUUGGCAACGUACAGCACUAAUAACGCUAUGGAAAUAAGCGAAUCAGAGACUCUAAUUUGUUGCCUUUUUCAUAGCAAAUCCAACAAACCCAACACAAAUCAAUUGCUUGUUCGUUCAUCUAAACACUUCAACAAAAACACCCAUCUAAAAAAGACAACAACUUUACCCAAAAUCAACACAAAAUUUUCAUCAAUGAAAAUAAGAAGGCUCAGAGUGUAA
This 249-nucleotide long non-coding RNA is filed under the name Prunus dulcis (almond). RNAcentral's name for it is "sRNA ncRNA". The record is from RNAcentral. Lineage: Eukaryota; Viridiplantae; Streptophyta; Magnoliopsida; Rosales; Rosaceae.